Molecule: ribosomal RNA, 222 nt
Filed under: uncultured bacterium
Lineage: Bacteria
Description: partial 16S ribosomal RNA
Rfam family: Bacterial small subunit ribosomal RNA
Source: RNAcentral
UACGUAGGGUGCGAGCGUUGUCCGGAAUUAUUGGGCGUAAAGAGCUUGUAGGCGGUUUGUCGCGUCUGCUGUGAAAAUCCGGGGCUCAACCCCGGACUUGCAGUGGGUACGGGGCAGACUAGAGUGUGGUAGGGGGAGACUGGAAUUCCUGGUGUAGCGGUGGAAAUGCGCAGAUAUCAGGAGGAACACCGAUGGCGAAGGCAGGUCUCUGGGCCACUACUG